Molecule: long non-coding RNA, 843 nt
Filed under: Panax ginseng (ginseng)
Lineage: Eukaryota; Viridiplantae; Streptophyta; Magnoliopsida; Apiales; Araliaceae
Description: long non-coding RNA (PGIN_LNC009366)
Source: RNAcentral
UUCAUUAAAAUUAAAUUCGUAUUCAACCAGGAAAGAAAGAAGACGCAAAAACAGAGAAGCAAUCAUCUGUUCUUUGAGGUGCCAUUUUUAUUCUUCGAAGAAUCCCGAUGCACCUUAUAAUUCAUCGGUAAGAGCUCAUCUAUUUAUCAAUAUUUUCUUUUAAAUUUUCCUGCAAAGUCUUCGUUGUCAUGAAUAGAAACCCUAUACAUCCUUUCUACAAUAGUUCUUUAUUCACUCUAUCUAUGAUAUAUGAGAAUUUGGGUUAUUAGCCAUGAGGCAGUUCAAUGGUAGUCGCAGAAUUCGUGGAUUCAUCAGCGAAUUAUGUACCCUGGUCAUAGUUUUCUUGUUUUACAACCGGGGAGAUAUUACGAGGAACCCAGUGCUUAGGCAAUCAAACCUAAUUUCGGGCAGCGGGUUUUGUGGUGGGUCAAAUCAUAGGUCAGUAAUUCACCAUCAUCUACAUCCACUAGUACAACCACUACCCAAUUCAUAAUAAGCCGAAUUUUCGCUUACCUGUGCAGCCCAAAAAGACUCAUGGCUAGAGGCGGAGAAUAGAUCUAUAUGACCUAGAACUAUCAUCGAGGCUAGAGAGUAGCAAAGAAUGAUGAUGAUUCAGAUCUAUGACUAGCGCUAGAGAGAGGCGAAGAAGAGAUGGCCAAGAUCUACAAAUGAUUUUGGGUUUAUGGAUAGUUUUGUUUUUGAAAAUUUAAUGUAUAUAGAUGAUUUUGUUUGGUGAUAUUUUAUUUGGGGAGAAGAUGAUGAACAAUGGGUUGUGAUUUAUUUUGAUAUUAUCUUUAAUUUAUUAUAUUAUUGAAUAGAAAUUAUUGGAAUGUUUGGGUCGGG